Molecule: ribosomal RNA, 192 nt
Filed under: Phoxinus phoxinus (Eurasian minnow)
Lineage: Eukaryota; Metazoa; Chordata; Actinopteri; Cypriniformes; Leuciscidae
Description: partial large subunit ribosomal RNA
Source: RNAcentral
CUUAAUUACUUAUAUAAUUCAACAAUGUUCUUAACAAAACAUGGCCCAACAGCACAAACUAAACCAUUUUAUUACCUGAGUAUGGGAGACAGAAAGGGUUCAACACAAAGCGAUAGAAAAAGUACCGCAGGGGAAAGCUGAAAGAGACAUGAAAUAGCCCAUAUAAGCACCAAAAAACAAAGACUAAACCUU